RNAcentral lists this ribosomal RNA (450 nucleotides) under uncultured bacterium. RNAcentral's name for it is "bacterial SSU rRNA". It matches the Rfam family "Bacterial small subunit ribosomal RNA", at positions 354 to 796 of the family's 1533-position model. The record is from RNAcentral.
GUGGGGAAUAUUGGACAAUGGGGGAAACCCUGAUCCAGCGACGCCGCGUGUGUGAAGAAGGCCUGCGGGUUGUAAAGCACUUUCGGUGGGAACGAAAUGUGCCGACCUAAUACGUCGGUAAGCUGACGUUACUCAAUGAAGAAGCACCGGCUAACUCUGUGCCAGCAGCCGCGGUAAUACAGAGGGUGCAAGCGUUAAUCGGAAUUACUGGGCGUAAAGCGCACGUAGGCGGCUAUAUAAGUCGGAUGUGAAAUCCCCGGGCUUAACCUGGGAACCGCAUUCGAGACUGCAUAGCUAGAGUACUGGAGAGGACAGCGGAAUUCCCGGUGUAGCGGUGAAAUGCGUAGAUAUCGGGAGGAACAUCAGUGGCGAAGGCGGCUGUCUGGCCAAGUACUGACGCUCAGGUGCGAAAGCGUGGGGAGCAAACAGGAUUAGAAACCCGGGUAGUCC